This is an RNA transcript of Vicia villosa (hairy vetch), 1181 nucleotides long. It is a transcript of the gene named probable oxidosqualene cyclase, with no coding region annotated. The transcript has 4 exons. The record is from RefSeq and is a predicted model, not a curated record. Lineage: Eukaryota; Viridiplantae; Streptophyta; Magnoliopsida; Fabales; Fabaceae.
ACCUUCGUUCUUCUGCUCUUCUGAAUUCGUAUUGUUUUAGAUCUUGCUUUUGAAAGCUCUCAGGGAUCUGUUAGGGUUUUUUAGAUAAACCAAAAUCAAAUAUAUAAACCCUACGCUGAAACGAAAGCAAGACGACGGUUUAUCCUGUAUAAGGAAAAACAAGAUAUCUCUUAUGAAACAAAUACAAGAUUCACCCAUUCACGGCUUCCUUCAAACAAAAAUCAGUGUUUACGAUGGCCAUGGUAGUCCUCUCAUUCUUGAUUUGGUACAUUUAGCGCAUUUAAUAAACUUCAACACUUAUCGUCCAUACUUAAUAGAUUCUUCAUUUUUGUUGGUUUUGACACAACAUAUUCCACCUUCAUGGUGUUUUUUCGGUAUCGCUGCGUUCUUUACAUUUAAUUUACUCACUUUUAAAAAGUUGUAUUCGUGUCAGUGUCGGUGUUUAUAUUUCUUAGCUUAUCUCACUAACAUGUGAUCAUUGACAGGUGAGGGUGCUGAAACAGAUAGGAGUUUACUAUUGUGAGGUCCUUUAAUUGGAUCGGAUCCAUAAUGGACUCCAUUCACGGCAUUACCGGUCCAAAAUAUUCUCAGAGGAGAGCCCCUCAUGCUUUUGAUUUUGAAUUUGGUUUUUAAGGUUUGAUAUUCAUUUGAACAAUGCCAUUCUUGUUGAAGAUAAGCACAAAUCUAUUUAAUAAGGUAUUUACACUACAUGUAAAACAUAUACAGGUACUAAACAUGAUUUGUUGUUGGUUGGAGAACCCUAAUUUUGAAGCUUUUAAGUAUCACACUAACCACAUUUCUUUUCUCUAUGGUAUUUUCAGGCAGCCAUUUUGUUAGCAAACUUGUCAUUUAUCAUUGUCGGGAAAGCAACGGAAACAGAAGAGUUCUUCGAUGCGGUUAAUUUCAUUUCAUCUAUGCAGGAAACUCUCUGUCUCAUUGUCAAAGUCAGGGAAUCAUAAUGCUUUGGAAGUUGAUGCUAUGGACAAGAUUCCUUGUGUGAGUUAACUUUCCAUCUGCUAAUUGUUAGAAUUAGUCACAUAUUUAUAUCCUUAGCUGUACUAUGUCACUGAUUGAGAAAAUAUUAAGCAUUCAAUCAAUUUAGCAUUCAAUAGGUUUAUUGUAAUUACAUUAUUAAUACAAGUGAGGUGUGUUGUUUUAGACACAAUUACAAAUUCAACAAA